Molecule: unclassified non-coding RNA, 278 nt
Filed under: Neohypochnicium subrigescens
Lineage: Eukaryota; Fungi; Basidiomycota; Agaricomycetes; Polyporales
Description: Hypochnicium subrigescens partial internal transcribed spacer region
Rfam family: Eukaryotic small subunit ribosomal RNA (bases 1-46)
Source: RNAcentral
AAGUCGUAACAAGGUUUCCGUAGGUGAACCUGCGGAAGGAUCAUUACUGAAUUUAAUUCUGGGGUUGUAGCUGGCCAUGAAUUUGGCAUGUGCACACCCUGGUGAAUCCAAUUCUUUACACCUUUGUGCACCAUUCAUGGGAUUGAUGAGUCUACUUUGGCGCCAGCGCUGGUAGUAUCGUUUUUCUCAUGCUUCAUAUAUAACACCUUUCAGUACAGAAUGUUUAUUGCGUUUGACGCAUCUUAAUACAACUUUCAGCAACGGAUCUCUUGGCUCUC